RNAcentral lists this ribosomal RNA (514 nucleotides) under uncultured bacterium. RNAcentral describes it as "bacterial SSU rRNA". It matches the Rfam family "Bacterial small subunit ribosomal RNA", at positions 355 to 885 of the family's 1533-position model. The record is from RNAcentral.
UGGGGAAUCUUGGACAAUGGGGGCAACCCUGAUCCAGCCAUGCCGCGUGAGUGAUGAAGGCCUUAGGGUCGUAAAGCUCUUUCGCCUGUGAAGAUAAUGACGGUAGCAGGUAAAGAAACCCCGGCUAACUCCGUGCCAGCAGCCGCGGUAAUACGGAGGGGGUUAGCGUUGUUCGGAAUUACUGGGCGUAAAGCGCACGUAGGCGGACCAGAAAGUUGGGGGUGAAAUCCCGGGGGCUCAACCCCGGAACUGCCUCCAAAACUAUUGGUCUAGAGUUCGAGAGAGGUGAGUGGAAUUCCAAGUGUAGAGGUGAAAUUCGUAGAUAUUUGGAGGAACACCAGUGGCGAAGGCGGCUCACUGGCUCGAUACUGACGCUGAGGUGCGAAAGUGUGGGGAGCAAACAGGAUUAGAUACCCUGGUAGUCCACGCCGUAAAACGAUGGAUACUAGGUGUUGGGUAGCAUGCUAUUCGGUGACACACCUAACGGAUUAAGCAUUCCGCCUGGGGAGUACGG